This 487-nucleotide ribosomal RNA is filed under the name Carapoia sp. Br15-18. RNAcentral's name for it is "partial 28S ribosomal RNA". The record is from RNAcentral. Lineage: Eukaryota; Metazoa; Arthropoda; Arachnida; Araneae; Pholcidae.
GCGACGGACCCUCGAGAAGGACGUCUCCUCGUCGCGGUCUCSGUGGUGCCCGACGCACUUCUCCCCGCCCUCUGGACGCCGCAACGGAUCGGGUAGCUGCGAGAGUCGGCCUUGAGGCCAUCCCAGGCAGGUGGCCGGAUCGUCGGCAUUCGUGCAGGCGUUCCGGUUAUUCACGGGGUGGUUUUACGUGGCGCGACACCCGAUCGAGGUCGAAGUUCCCCGUGCGGGGAACAAUCCGUCUCCGYYUCUCACGAGGCGCGGCGGCCGGGACAGUGAGCGCCGACGAUGCCGACCCACUCCGAGUAGUGGCCGGCGCGGCGGUGGCCGUCGAUGGUUCCGGUGCUWUGCCGCAGCGAGGCGACGCGGGUUGCGGCGAGUAGGUCGGUAACCCACCCGACCCGUCUUGAAACACGGACCAAGGAGUCUAACAUGUGCGCGAGUCGCAGGGUCUUGUACAGGCCCUCGGGCGCAAUGAAAGUGAAAAAAA